AUACGGGGGGUGCAAGCGUUAAUCGGAAUUACUGGGCGUAAAGCGCGCGUAGGCGGUUUGCUCAGUCGGAUGUGAAAGCCCAGGGCUCAACCUUGGAACUGCAUACGAUACUGGCAAACUAGAGUGUGGGAGAGGAUAGUGGAAUUUCCGGUGUAGCGGUGAAAUGCGUAGAUAUCGGAAGGAACAUCAGUGGCGAAGGCGACUGUCUGGCUCAACACUGACGCUGAGGUGCGAAAGCGUGGGUAGCAAACAGGAUUAGAUACCCUAGUAGUCC
This 274-nucleotide ribosomal RNA is filed under the name uncultured bacterium. RNAcentral describes it as "partial 16S ribosomal RNA". It matches the Rfam family "Bacterial small subunit ribosomal RNA", at positions 523 to 796 of the family's 1533-position model. The record is from RNAcentral.